Molecule: non-coding RNA, 127 nt
Organism: Bombyx mori (domestic silkworm)
Lineage: Eukaryota; Metazoa; Arthropoda; Insecta; Lepidoptera; Bombycidae
Source: RefSeq, marked provisional
ACUCCGCAAAUACAGCGUCCAUGAUCCCUGAGUGCCUAGGUGGGGCGGCUUAAAAACUCUCGCCUUGCGGCGAGGCCCCAACUUCUCGGACCUGAGCGGUUCUAUUGAACGCAGGUGGCGAUGCGGC